GGUGAACGCUAGCGGCGUGCCUUAAGCAUGCAAGUCGAACGGGAUAGCAAUAUCCAGUGGCGGACGGGUGAGUAAUGCAUAGGAAUCUACCCUAAAGUGGGGAAUAACUAGCCGAAAGGUUAGCUAAUACCGCAUGUGAUAGCAAUAUCAAAACCCGUAACUGGGCGCUUUAGGAUGAGCUUAUGUCCCAUCAGCUUGUUGGUAGGGUAAAAGCCUACCAAGGCUAUGACGGGAGCUGGGCUGAGAGGUCGGCCAGCCACAAUGGCACUGAGACACGGGCCAUACAUCUACGGAUGGCAGCAACUGGGAAUCUUUGGCAAUGGACGAAAGUCCGACCAAGCGACGCCGCGUGGAGGAUGAAGGCCU
RNAcentral lists this ribosomal RNA (366 nucleotides) under uncultured bacterium. RNAcentral describes it as "bacterial SSU rRNA". It matches the Rfam family "Bacterial small subunit ribosomal RNA", at positions 28 to 417 of the family's 1533-position model. The record is from RNAcentral.